AAGUCUGAUAACAAGGUUCCAGUAGGUGACGCCUUGCGAAUGGAUCAUUAUGAAUCCAACUAUCGGAUAGAGAUGCGUGCUGCUCUACCGGGCAAUGGUGCAACAGUCUCGAUUCAUUUACCUGCUCACCUCUGUGCACUUUUCACAGGACAGCUGGUGGUUGUAGGCUUCAUUGUUUAUGGCUACAGGUUGCUUUGUGUGCUUUAUAAAACUCAUAAUCAAGUUCAGAAUGUCUAUUGUGUAUCCACACAUUUAAAUACAA
RNAcentral lists this unclassified non-coding RNA (262 nucleotides) under plant metagenome. RNAcentral describes it as "partial contains small subunit ribosomal RNA and internal transcribed spacer 1". The record is from RNAcentral.